UUAUGUGACAGAUUAAUAAAUAAAUAGAGUUGAUUGAAAAUAAUUUUACACAAAAUGAAUAACGAGGAUUUAUGAUUAAAAUCUUAAAUAUGUCAAUAAACAGGAAAAAAGAGAUUUAUAUACACAAGUUAAUUUAUAUCUGUUUAAAAAGAACAUUUUGUUACUGCAAGUGUGGCAAAUGUGCCUUUCUCAAAGUGUACAAGAUUCGGGUGACAUGAGGAGUUCACGUGAUGUAACGUAGCGUAACCAAUCAGACGCCGUCAAGGUGUACGUGCUGCCGUGUUUUUGUUUUUUUUUCUCUCUCCACCGGGCGUCAUCGAGGUGGCUGCUUGCUAACCUUUUGCUGCAGAUAUUACUGGUUGUGUGAGAAAGCCAGAUAUUCCAACGUAUCAGUUAUGUUUAUCGUCGGCGCAGAGAGUGAAGUUUUUUUUGCCGUGGGUUGAUUAGCGGACCGUGUGUUUUGUGACAGAAACGAAGGAGAACUGGAACCUGGACUGAUGAGAGCUGUGUAUUCUGCCUUGUGCCCGGAGUGUGUGUGUGUAUGUGAUGCUUGAUCCUCUGGCUGGGUCUUUUUCUUUCUUGUAUGGAUUCCUGGGUUGAGAUCUGCAUGAAGAUUUUUUCUUCUUCUGCUGGGAUCCCUCCCAUCCUGUAAAGGUAGAGGGGAACCUCAGUGGUAGUGGCGAGCCACCCAAAACAGAGACUGAUUUAUUCAGUGACGGGAUUUAUUGAGAACUGUAGUUGAUAUGUCAUGUGUUUGCUGACAAUUAAAUUAUUUUUUUUACUAUUUAUUCUAAAUUUUAUUUCUUUAUUCAACAUAAUAUAACACACUUAAAACUUACCUGUUGGUUGUGUGAAUUCUUUACCCUGUCACUCAAUGCCCAUUGCUAAUACCCCUUUCUCCUAUAGCGAUCUAGACUUCUGAUUUCCUGGUCCACGAUUUAAUUAAUGCACUGAUAAAAUAAACAUAUCUGUAUCUCCCAGUCUUUGCCAUCAACAGUUAGAGCUGAGGCAGGUUACACCAGCCAAUCAGGAGCCGUGUCACACUCAGCCAGCCAAUCAGGAGAUGUGUAACACUCAGCCAGCCAAUCAGGAGAUGUGUCACACUCAGCCAGCCAAUCAGGACUAAUGUAACAGUCAGCCAGCCAAUGCGCAGGCUUGUAACACUCAGCCAGCCAAUGCGCAGGCUUGUAACACUCAGCCAGCAAAUCAGGAGGCGUGUCACACUCAGCUAGCCAAUGAGGAGGCUUGUAACACUCAGUCAGCCAAUCAGGAGUUGUGUAACAUUCAGGAAGCCAAUCAGGAGGUGUGUCACACUCAGGCAGCCAAUCAGGAGGCAUAUGCCCCUCAGUCAACAAAUCAGGAACACUUUUACACUUAGCCAGGCAAUAAAGCCAGCAAAUCAAGAGCCGUGUAACACUCAGCCAGCCAAUAAGGAGGCGUGUCACACUAAUGCAGCCAAUCAGGAAGCAUGUAACGCUCAGCCAGCAAAUCAGGAGGUGUGUAACACUCAGCCAGCCAAUCAGGAGGUAUGUAACAGUCAGCCAGCCAAUCAGGAGGUAUGUAACAGUCAGCCAGCCAGUGAGCAGGCAUGUAACACUGAGCCAGCAAAUCAGGAGGCGUGUCACACUAAGCUAGCCAAUCAGAAGGCUUGUAACACUCAGCCAGCCAAUAAGGAGGCGUGUCACACUCAGCCAGCGAAUCAGGAGGCGUGUAACACUCAGCCAGCCAAUCAGGAGGCAUGUAACACUCAGCCUGCCAAUAAGGUGGUGUGUCACACUCAGCCAGCCAAUCAGGAGGCGUGUAACACUCAGGCCGCCAAUCAGGAGGCGUGUAACACUCAGCCACCAAUCAGGAGGCGUGUAACACUCAGCCAGCCAAUCAGGAGGCGUGUAACACUCAGCUAGCCAAUCAGGAGGCGUGUAACACUCAGCUAGCCAAUCAGGAGGCGUGUAACACUCAGGCAGCGAAUAAUGAGGCGUGUCACACUCAGGCAGCCAUAGGAGGGGUGUAACACUCAGGUAGCCAAUCAGGAAGCCUUUGACACUCAGCCAGCCAAUCAGAACGUGUGUAACACUCAGCCAGCCAAUCAGGAGGCGUGUAACACUCAGCUACCAAUCAGGAGGCGUGUAACACUCAGCCAGCCAAUCAGAAGGCGUGUAACACCAGCUAGCCAAUCAGGAGGCAUGUAACACUCAGACAGCCAAUCGGGGCCGUGUAACACUCAGCCAGCCAAUCAAGAGUCGUGUCACACUCAGGCAGCCAAUCAGGACGCGUGUAACACUCAGGCUGCCAAUCAGGAGGCGUGUAACACUCAGCUACCAAUCAGGAGGCGUGUAACACUCAGCCAGCCAAUCAGGAGGCGUGUAACACUCAGCCAGCCAAUCAGGAGGCGUGUAACACUCAGCCAGCCAAUCAGGAGGCGUGUAACACUCAGCCAGCCAAUCAGGAGGCGUGUAACACUCAGCCAGCCAAUCAGGAGGCGUGUAACACUCAGCUAGCCAAUCAGGAUGCGUGUAACACUCAGACAGCCAAUCAGGGGGCGUGUAACACUCAGCCAGCCAAUCAGGAGGCGUGUAACACUCAGACAGCCAAUCAGGGGGCGUUGAACACUCAGCCAGCCAAUCAGGAGGCGUGUAACACUCAGCUAGCCAAUCAGGAGGCGUGUCACACUCAGGCAGCCAAUUAGGAGGGGUGUAACACUCACGUAGCCAAUCAGGAAGCCUUUGACAUUCAGCCAGCCAAUCAGGAGACGUUUAACCCUCAGCCAGCCAAUAAGGAGGCGUGUCACACUCUGCCCACCAAUCAGGAGGCAUGUAACACUUAGCCAGCCAAUAAGGAGGCGUGUAACACUCAGGCAGCCAAUCAGGAGGCGUGUUACACUCAGGCAGCAAAUAAGGAGGCGUGUCACAC
Dicentrarchus labrax (European seabass) is the source of this 2910-nucleotide long non-coding RNA. RefSeq lists it as uncharacterized. The transcript is spliced from 4 exons. NCBI's taxonomy places the organism in Eukaryota, Metazoa, Chordata, Actinopteri, Moronidae. The record is from RefSeq and is a predicted model, not a curated record.